ACUGAUGUCAUUGGUCAAAUUUACACAAAGAAAAAUAGCUUUUAUGAAUGAAAGAGAAAUGUGUUUAUACCACUUGUGUAAGAUUGUUUUGAAUUUGUUGCCUCGUGCCUGCGCCGCCAUUGUAAUUUUACUGCGAAAGAUUGGUUUUGACUUUCCAAUAAUUGAAAUCAUUGAAAUUCGCAUGAGCGCCGCUGGAAUUACUAAUAAUAAGGAUAAAUCUUUCUUGUUAAUUAAUUAUCUUCACUAUUUAAAUAAAUUUUGAUUAAUAAAAAGAUAUACAAUGUAGUUCGAUUCGUGCUUGGUUAUUGAUAAAAGUAAUUUUGUUUUAAAUGUGUUAUUCCCAAGUGUAAAACGCGAUCAAAUUACGUGCUGUACCUUUUACUGAUAGUAGAUAACACUAGAUGGGAGGCAUGGUUCAUCAAUUGUCCAAUAUUACGGAAAUAUACUCGUAGGCAGUUAGAAAACGUUAAAAUUUGUGAAAACCACUUUCUACCCAGAAAAAAGACCUACUUAUUGGUAAUCAACGUGCACAGUGGUCCAUCAUUGAGGAGCUCUAUGCUACAGAUGGUGAAGCCGGACGUGCAAGAACCACAACCCUGACGGAUAAACACAUUAGACCAACUUCUUAUGACAAGAUGAA
This is a long non-coding RNA of Bicyclus anynana (squinting bush brown), 640 nucleotides long. RefSeq lists it as uncharacterized. Lineage: Eukaryota; Metazoa; Arthropoda; Insecta; Lepidoptera; Nymphalidae. The transcript has 2 exons. The record is from RefSeq and is a predicted model, not a curated record.